GACUAACGCUGGCGGCGUGCCUAACACAUGCAAGUCGAACGGGGUAGCAAUACCCAGUGGCAGACGGGUGAGUAACACGUGGUCAACCUACCUCUGUGUGGGGGAUAACUAGCCGAAAGGUUAGCUAAUACCGCAUACGAUCGUUUUGGGGCAUCCCGAGACGAUGAAAGGAGCAAUUCGCACGGAGAGGGGACUGCGUC
RNAcentral lists this ribosomal RNA (200 nucleotides) under uncultured bacterium. Its description in RNAcentral is "partial 16S ribosomal RNA". It matches the Rfam family "Bacterial small subunit ribosomal RNA", at positions 28 to 237 of the family's 1533-position model. The record is from RNAcentral.